RNAcentral lists this ribosomal RNA (497 nucleotides) under uncultured bacterium. RNAcentral's name for it is "partial 16S ribosomal RNA". It matches the Rfam family "Bacterial small subunit ribosomal RNA", at positions 28 to 507 of the family's 1533-position model. The record is from RNAcentral.
GAUGAACGCUGGCGGCGUGCCUAAUACAUGCCAGUCGAGCGAACAGAUGAGGAGCUUGCUCCUCUGACGUUAGCGGCGGACGGGUGAGUAACACGUGGAUAACCUACCUAUAAGACUGGGAUAACUUCGGGAAACCGGAGCUAAUACCGGAUAAUAUAUUGAACCGCAUGGUUCAAUAGUGAAAGACGGUUUUGCUGUCACUUAUAGAUGGAUCCGCGCCGCAUUAGCUAGUUGGUAAGGUAACGGCUUACCAAGGCAACGAUGCGUAGCCGACCUGAGAGGGUGAUCGGCCACGCUGGAACUGAGACACGGUUCAGACUCCUACGGGAGGCAGCAGUAGGGAAUCUUCCGCAAUGGGCGAAAGCCUGACGGAGCAACGCCGCGUGAGUGAUGAAGGUCUUCGGAUCGUAAAACUCUGUUAUUAGGGAAGAACAAAUGUGUAAGUAACUAUGCACGUCUUGACGGUACCUAAUCAGAAAGCCACGGCUAACUACGUG